GGGAGGGGUGCGAGCGUUAAAUCGGGAAUUACUGGGGCGUAAAGCGCGCGUAGGCGGGCCUGAUCAGUCGGGAUGUGAAAGCCCUGGGCUUAACCCGGGAAUUGCACUCGAUACUGUCAGGCUAGAGUAUGGGAGAGGGAAGUGGAAUUUCCGGUGUAGCGGUGAAAUGCGUAGAUAUCGGAAGGAACACCAGUGGCGAAGGCGACUUCCUGGCCCAAUACUGACGCUCAGGUGCGAAAGCGUGGGUAGCGAACAGGAUUAGAUACCCUGGUAGUCCACGCCGUAAACGAUGAGAACUAGAUGUCGGGAGGAUUUACCUCUCGGUGUCGCAGCUAACGCGUUAAGUUCUCCGCCUGGGGAGGUACGCCGGCAACGGUA
RNAcentral lists this ribosomal RNA (378 nucleotides) under uncultured organism. RNAcentral's name for it is "partial 16S ribosomal RNA". It matches the Rfam family "Bacterial small subunit ribosomal RNA", at positions 525 to 896 of the family's 1533-position model. The record is from RNAcentral.